This 381-nucleotide ribosomal RNA is filed under the name uncultured eukaryote. RNAcentral's name for it is "SSU rRNA". It matches the Rfam family "Eukaryotic small subunit ribosomal RNA", at positions 587 to 972 of the family's 1831-position model. The record is from RNAcentral.
AGCUCCAAUAGCAUAUAUUAAAGUUGUUGCAGUUAAAAAGCUUGUAGUUGGAUUUCUGGUGGGAGCAUGGGUCGGCCCUCACAGGUUGUAUUGUUGUUGUGUCCUGCCGUUUCAGAGGGAAUGGCCUCACUAUUAAGUUAAUGUUGUUGGGAACUCUGUUGUUUACUGUCAAAAAAUUAGAGUGUUCAAAGCAGGCCUUUGCUGUGAAUACAUUAGCAUGGAAUAAUAAGAUAAGGACUGUAGUGCUAUUUUGUUGGUUUGCAUACUAUGGUAAUGAUUAAUAGGGAUAGUUGGGGGUAUUCAUAUUCAAUUGUCAGAGGUGAAAUUCUUGGAUUUAUGGAAGAUGAACUACUGCAAAAGCAUUUACCAAGGAUGUUUUCA